GGGUGGGGAAACAGGUGUGCAGAAUGUUCCAGAUCUGUGUUUGCUAAGGGUGAAGAACGUGUCUCAAGGAAGAAAAAACGGUUGUUCACCAUUCUUUUUAUCAUUUGUUACUAAAUGUGAUUAUUUAUUUAUUACUGUA
This is a non-coding RNA of Lonchura striata (white-rumped munia), 139 nucleotides long. NCBI's taxonomy places the organism in Eukaryota, Metazoa, Chordata, Aves, Passeriformes, Estrildidae. The record is from RefSeq and is a predicted model, not a curated record.